This 973-nucleotide ribosomal RNA is filed under the name Salmonella enterica subsp. enterica serovar Weltevreden. Its description in RNAcentral is "bacterial SSU rRNA". It matches the Rfam family "Bacterial small subunit ribosomal RNA", at positions 542 to 1515 of the family's 1533-position model. Lineage: Bacteria; Pseudomonadati; Pseudomonadota; Gammaproteobacteria; Enterobacterales; Enterobacteriaceae. The record is from RNAcentral.
UAAUCGGAAUUACUGGGCGUAAAGCGCACGCAGGCGGUCUGUCAAGUCGGAUGUGAAAUCCCCGGGCUCAACCUGGGAACUGCAUUCGAAACUGGCAGGCUUGAGUCUUGUAGAGGGGGGUAGAAUUCCAGGUGUAGCGGUGAAAUGCGUAGAGAUCUGGAGGAAUACCGGUGGCGAAGGCGGCCCCCUGGACAAAGACUGACGCUCAGGUGCGAAAGCGUGGGGAGCAAACAGGAUUAGAUACCCUGGUAGUCCACGCCGUAAACGAUGUCUACUUGGAGGUUGUGCCCUUGAGGCGUGGCUUCCGGAGCUAACGCGUUAAGUAGACCGCCUGGGGAGUACGGCCGCAAGGUUAAAACUCAAAUGAAUUGACGGGGGCCCGCACAAGCGGUGGAGCAUGUGGUUUAAUUCGAUGCAACGCGAAGAACCUUACCUGGUCUUGACAUCCACGGAAGUUUUCAGAGAUGAGAAUGUGCCUUCGGGAACCGUGAGACAGGUGCUGCAUGGCUGUCGUCAGCUCGUGUUGUGAAAUGUUGGGUUAAGUCCCGCAACGAGCGCAACCCUUAUCCUUUGUUGCCAGCGGUCCGGCCGGGAACUCAAAGGAGACUGCCAGUGAUAAACUGGAGGAAGGUGGGGAUGACGUCAAGUCAUCAUGGCCCUUACGACCAGGGCUACACACGUGCUACAAUGGCGCAUACAAAGAGAAGCGACCUCGCGAGAGCAAGCGGACCUCAUAAAGUGCGUCGUAGUCCGGAUUGGAGUCUGCAACUCGACUCCAUGAAGUCGGAAUCGCUAGUAAUCGUGGAUCAGAAUGCCACGGUGAAUACGUUCCCGGGCCUUGUACACACCGCCCGUCACACCAUGGGAGUGGGUUGCAAAAGAAGUAGGUAGCUUAACCUUCGGGAGGGCGCUUACCACUUUGUGAUUCAUGACUGGGGUGAAGUCGUAACAAGGUAACCGUAGGGGAACCUGC